GUUGCCACUUGCAAAGUUAAGCGUCGGUCUCAUGCUAAGCAUACUGUUGCGUCCAGGUGAUUUGAUACCUGCCUAAUUAUGCAUACGAUUUUCCAGGAAGAUGUUAUCUUGCUUCUCUCAUGGCCAGAUUCGGUGUAUUGCAUUAUAUCAGCUAUGUUUAAAUUGUUCUUGAUGCUACAGGCUAAUCAUCCAUUUCAAUAAAGGGAGCGAUUGUACCCAUCCGAGCUACACUACCAGGGAUCAGUUAUGGACCCUUGCUCAGGAAACUCCGAGGAUAAUCAAGAUCACUUUUUGAAUAUUACUCAAUCUUAUACUAGAAGAACUUGGUGGUUCAAAGGAUGAAUUCCAUCUUGAGCUAUGCGAAUAUAUCUAAGUUUGUGUGACUGUUCUGUUUAACACCUCUACACCAGCGGAGUGUUCUCCUGUGUACCUCUAUGUUUGUGAUAAAGUCAAAAGAACUAUGAAACAGCGGGGGAUUCUUCAUGAUUCCGUUCGUUUGGACACAUAUGUUGACCUGGCGACAAAUACAAUCAUCAUAAGCUUCCUACGGGCUUUGUCAAUAAACAUUUGCUACUCCGUUCGUGA
This is a long non-coding RNA of Lolium rigidum, 585 nucleotides long. RefSeq lists it as uncharacterized. The record is from RefSeq and is a predicted model, not a curated record. The transcript is spliced from 2 exons. Lineage: Eukaryota; Viridiplantae; Streptophyta; Magnoliopsida; Poales; Poaceae.